RNAcentral lists this ribosomal RNA (253 nucleotides) under uncultured bacterium. RNAcentral describes it as "partial 16S ribosomal RNA". It matches the Rfam family "Bacterial small subunit ribosomal RNA", at positions 524 to 776 of the family's 1533-position model. The record is from RNAcentral.
UACGUAUGGGGCAAGCGUUAUCCGGAUUUACUGGGUGUAAAGGGAGCGUAGGCGGCGGGGCAAGCCUGAUGUGAAAGCCCGGGGCUCAACCCCGGGACUGCAUUGGGAACUGCCCUGCUGGAGUGCCGGAGGGGCAGGCGGAAUUCCUAGUGUAACGGUGAAAUGCGUAGAUAUUAGGAGGAACACCAGUGGCGAAGGCGGCCUGCUGGACGGUGACUGACGCUGAGGCUCGAAAGCGUGGGGAGCAAACAGG